AAAAGAAAAGGGUGAAAAGAACAAAGUUUUGUCCAUCUUUGUUCAUCAUAGCUGAAAGUUAGAGAAGAGAAAGGAGAGGAGAAAGCUCUUGAGUAUUCGGUCAUUAGGAGGAGGAAAAUUGAAGGAAAUCCCCAACCAUAGUGGGCUUGGAGCUGUGAGGGAAUUCGGAGUGGCCACCCGUUCUGAAAGUUUGAUUUUCUUCUGGUGAACUAGACAUCCUUUUAUUUACGUUUGAAGUUUUUAGGCUUUUAAAUAUAAUAAGGCCGCUUAAUUAUUUUUUAUGGUUUUAAUAUGUAUUACUAAGAUAGGUAAUACUUAUUUUAACUGUUGAAAUUGGAUAGCUUUAGGGCGCGUUUUCAAAAACAACAA
This is a long non-coding RNA of Gossypium arboreum, 369 nucleotides long. RefSeq lists it as uncharacterized. The transcript is spliced from 2 exons. Lineage: Eukaryota; Viridiplantae; Streptophyta; Magnoliopsida; Malvales; Malvaceae. The record is from RefSeq and is a predicted model, not a curated record.